UACAGAGGGUGCAAGCGUUAAUCGGAAUUACUGGGCGUAAAGCGUGCGUAGACGGUUAUGUAAGUCGGGUGUGAAAGCCCCGGGCUCAACCUGGGAAUUGCAUUCGAGACUGCAUAGCUAGGGUGCGGAAGAGGGAAGCGGAAUUUCCGGUGUAGCGGUGAAAUGCGCAGAUAUCGGGAGGAACACCAAUGGCGAAGGCAGCUCGCUGGGACGGUACUGACGCUGAGACGCGAAAGCGUGGGGAGCAAACAGG
RNAcentral lists this ribosomal RNA (253 nucleotides) under uncultured bacterium. RNAcentral describes it as "partial 16S ribosomal RNA". It matches the Rfam family "Bacterial small subunit ribosomal RNA", at positions 524 to 776 of the family's 1533-position model. The record is from RNAcentral.